CAUCUAUCCCUUCAUGACCGGCGAAGCAGCAUGAAUUCAGGCGACAACCACGGGGCUCCGGUGAGGGUAUCUUGGCGACGGCACCGCCAUCUGCGGCGGCGGUGGUGGUGCCUCCAUCAGCCAACGACAAUACACCCCCCCUUUUCUUCUUCGUGAAUCUAGCAGCGGCGCCGCCAUGAGUGGCGGUAGAUAUGACUGUUCCGACAUGAUUUCCGGCGCCCCUUGUGUUAUGGUGAUGUCGUUUCUUUGGUGCUGAUGUCGCAAGGAUGAUGUCGAUGAAAGAUGGUGUUGUUGAAGCUCGGUUCGUUCAGCUUCGGUACGGGUUCAAGUGAAGAUGUUACAGAUUCGGGUAUGUUUGGUUAGAUCUAGCUGGGUUUUUGUUUAAUUCGGGUCUUUCGGAUUUUGGGUCCAAGUUAGAAGGCUGCAGAUUCACGGUUCGGUUCGGAUUUGAGAAGAUUCGGGACAGAAUGAUUCGGUUCUAAUUUAGUUCGGGUGCACGUCAGUUGUGGUUCGGGUUCGUGAAACGGGUCGACUCGGUGCAACACGGCUCGACCCGAUCAGCUCAUUAGUCAACUCGGUCAACACCCGAGUCAACUCGGGUCAACACCAGUCAACAGAAGUCAAGGAUAGUCAACUCAGACCCGGUAAAGUUAUAACGACGCGAAAUUUAGUUAGUUCGAUAUACGUUAGUCAGAUUUUUAGUUAGUUACGCGACCUUAUUUCCAUUUUGGUGCAUUUGACAAGAUUAUUACAUA
Long non-coding RNA from Helianthus annuus (common sunflower), 755 nucleotides. RefSeq lists it as uncharacterized. The record is from RefSeq and is a predicted model, not a curated record. The transcript is spliced from 2 exons. Lineage: Eukaryota; Viridiplantae; Streptophyta; Magnoliopsida; Asterales; Asteraceae.